GAAUAUUGGACAAUGGGCGCAAGCCUGAUCCAGCCAUGCCGCGUGCAGGAAGACGGCCCUAUGGGUUGUAAACUGCUUUUGUACGGGAAGAACAUGGGCCACGCGUUGCCCUCUGACGGUACCGUAAGAAUAAGGAUCGGCUAACCCCGUGCCCGCCGCCGCGGUAAUACGGAGGAUCCGAGCGUUAUCCGGAAUCAUUGGGUUUAAAGGGUCCGUAGGCGGGCCGUUAAGUCAGGGGUGAAAGUCUGCAGCUCAACUGUAGAACUGCCCUUGAUACUGACGGCCUUGAGUUGCGGUGAAGUGGCCGGAAUAUGUAGUGUAGCGGUGAAAUGCAUAGAUAUUACAUAGAACACCGAUUGCGAAGGCAGGCCACUAACCGCACACUGACGCUGAUGGACGAAAGCGUGGGGAGCGAACAGG
This 420-nucleotide ribosomal RNA is filed under the name uncultured bacterium. RNAcentral describes it as "bacterial SSU rRNA". It matches the Rfam family "Bacterial small subunit ribosomal RNA", at positions 359 to 776 of the family's 1533-position model. The record is from RNAcentral.